CCCUUAGAUGUUCUCGGCCGCACACGCGCUACACUGAAAGAGGCAACGUGUUUGCCUGAUUCGAAAGAAUUGGGUAACCCCCUAAUCUCUUUCGUGCUGGGGAUUGAGGUUUGCAAUUAUCCUUCAUGAACGAGGAAUUCCCAGUAAGUGCGAGUCAUUAUCUCGCGCUGACUACGUCCCUGCCCUUUGUACACACCACCCGUCGCUACUACCGAUUGAAUGAUUUAGUGAGGACUUCGGACUGAGUCCAAUGCGGCUUUCGGGCUGCGUUGGUAUUUCGGAAAGAUGUCCAAACUGUAUCAUUUAGAGGAAGUAAAAGUCGUAACA
RNAcentral lists this ribosomal RNA (327 nucleotides) under uncultured eukaryote. RNAcentral's name for it is "partial 18S ribosomal RNA". It matches the Rfam family "Eukaryotic small subunit ribosomal RNA", at positions 1470 to 1796 of the family's 1831-position model. The record is from RNAcentral.